Long non-coding RNA from Cavia porcellus (domestic guinea pig), 12659 nucleotides. RefSeq lists it as uncharacterized. The record is from RefSeq and is a predicted model, not a curated record. The transcript is spliced from 2 exons. Lineage: Eukaryota; Metazoa; Chordata; Mammalia; Rodentia; Caviidae.
ACCACCUAGCAAAGACAUUUUUGACUUUUAAAGUGUGUCUUAGUCUAACACAAUAAAUUAAUUUACCUUUCCUGGGCUAAAGAUGUAUUUACUUAAUCUCCAAAAUAUAAGAGCUUCUUCAAAGGUACUAGGUCCUCCAGGAAAAGCUUUAUAACGUCCUCACGAAGUAACCUAACAGCUUUUUCAUUGCUGGAAUUCUGAAUUGGUAGUACUUUUGUUUUCAAUAUAAUGUUGGUCUAAUAAUCAAUCACCCCUUCAAGGAUUCUUAGACAUGAUCUCUGUAAUUUACAUUUUAUAAUACUAUAACUCUGUUUUUCUAGUCUAUGUGGAUAUUGAGAUGCUAAAGACGCUUGCAACAUCUAGAUAAUUCCCUGCUUUAAAGCCAAAAUGGCCUGUGUAUGGUCCUGGUGUUCCUUGAAGUUUGCAAAGCUAACAGCUCUGAGUCCCCAGGAGGUUAGCCCACACAUAGCAGUCAGGGUGUGAUUCUCCUUCGGCAGCCUCCCAGCUCCCAGGUAAGUCAGCCUUCCGCUCCCUCUAUGGCUCCGUGAGCACUAACUCAUUCCGUGCCACCCUUCUGCUGCUGCUUCAGCAGCCCCUCAGCUUUCUCCUCUUUGACCGAUCUAAAACACUGCCAGAUUCAGCCACUGGCCUUCUCUUAGCAAUUUCCCCUUCUUUUGGACAUCCAUAGUAAAUAUUUGCAGAGAAAAUCCAAGUUCAAAAAUUUAUCUCUGGCUGGAUGUGGUGGCACACACCAGUAAUUCCAGCAUUUGGGAGGCCAAGGCAAAAGGACUGCCACAAGCACAAGGCCAGCCUGAGCUACAUAGUAAGUCUGAGGUCACCCCAGACCACAUGGUGAGACCCCGUCUCAGCAUAGUCCUGCCCCCAAAUUCACCUUUAUCAGUUAAAGUUAGGUACUCUGACCAUUACCAACUGAAAUAAAAAGUUUUAAAAAGAUAAAGCAUGGGUAACCUGAUAGUUAAUAAAUGAACCAUCUUUUUGCAUGAAAAAAUAAAAAUAAGAGGAGCAUAUGUUCUCCUAAAUGAAUGCUAACUAAAACCAUCUCACUGAAAUUUGAACUUUGUGCAUUUGUUUAUCAGGACAUAGUAUGGAAGAGGCCCCUUCUCAGCUGGGUUCAAAGCCCUUGAGGCACAAGUGUCUGAGGUGUGGAGUGAAUUACCAGAGCCCAAAGACCCACAGAAAGGCUAAGUAAUGCUGGAGAGCGCACAGUGUCCCCUGGAACAUCACUGUUCUGGGACUUAACAUGAAAAACCCUAGCUGCGGAGGGCAUGCUCGGGGCAAGGAUUAGUUUCCUCGUGUCUGGCAAUGCCAGAAAGGGCCACAUCUGUGGGCCACUGCUUGACGACAUCUGUCCAUGGUCAAACAUGAUCUGUGUGCCAAACAGAUGCCAGAUGAACUCAUUAUGGCUGACAAAGUUUCAAGGAAACCAAGUUUAUGUCAUCAUGUUUCUGGCCGUGUGACAGAGACCGAGGAAAUCAGCUGGUCACCAUCCCCAUAGAGCACCUCCAGUUCCAGAGAGUAUGGACUUACUUCAGGGGACAGGGUGUUACUGUGUUUCAGUUUCUCAUCCACACUGUCUUUUCGUUUCUGGAGCUGAUCCUUUUCUUUCUGAAGGGCUUGAACUUGUUCUGAAAUCUUCAUUUUCUCCUCAGCUGUGCUGCUCUGGAGCUGCACACUCUUUUUAGACAGUUCUUGGUCCAGUGUGUUCAGGCGAGCUGAGAUUCUAACACUGUCUGUGUUUAACGCCUGCAAAGAUACAAACCACCAGACACUCCAAAUAAAACUCUACUGCUUACAAGUCAGGAAGACACAGAGAAGAUUACUCAAUGGAAUAGACUGUUACCAUUUCCAUAAUUCUUUUCUCCCAUGGACCUUUUGGGAUCAAGAUAUACAAUCUUAAAUUACUUAAUAUAAAAAAGUGUAGACUCAUGCUAUGAAUUUAUUAUCAAGUAUACCUUGGCUAGGUUUGAAAGGUAAGAUUUUUAUUUUUUCUUUUCUAAAUUGAACUUUUCUUCUUUGGCCUGUUAUAUGCUUCUCAUUCCCCAGAGGCUAAGAUUUGGUGAGUCUAAACAUAUUUUGUUUCUAUUCUCUUAGUUCAAUCUAGUAAGAAAAUGUGGCUAAAUCUGCUCAGGUUUACGGACAUGUUUAUUAUAAUUUAAAAUAAUUUAUUAUAAAGUUCUCUUGGUACUAGGGAUUGAACCAGAGGAACAUGCCAGGCAAGAACUCUACCACUGAGAUACAUCCUAUGUCCCUUUAAAAUGUUACUUUGAGACAAAGAGUUCCAUUAAGUUGCCCAGGUUAGCCUCAGACUUGCAAUUUCCUGCCUUAGCUUCUAGAGUAGCUGGGAUCACAGACAUUCACCAGCAUACCUGGCUUGUGUAUAUAUAUAAUCAUAUAUAUGAUUUAAUAUGUCUAUGUGUAUAUUAUCAUAAAGUUUAUAACUUACAAAAUGCAGUAGUCUCCAGCAAACUUUUACCUGAAUACAUCUCUCCAGAAACAGCCUCCUGCAAUCUUUUUAGCAGUUUUUUCUCGUGUUUAUAUCCAUGUCCCUAAAUAACAUUACCAAUUUUGGUGUUGUCUGUUAACUGCGGGUAACAGUAGUAAGGGUUUAGUACUCACACCUCCCCGCCUCUCCUCCCUGCCAAUGCUGUAUUACAGCUUUUAGUUAAAUCAUUAUUUAUCUAAUUAGGACUUUGUGACUAGUAUUUACUCACAGCUAAAUCAGCAUAUUUCCAUUUGAUUUUCUGCACCUUAAAACUAACUUUUUUCAAUCUGUUCCUUUCUGGAAACAUGGACAGAUUCUCCAUCCUCCUGCUCUGAAUAGGACUAGUUGUCCUGAGACUUGACUUGGGUACGUCCUAGGAAUUUCUGUUUUGGAUCACACCUUUCAGAAUUCAGACUCUUCCUCUUUUGUUGUUUAUAUUUUUUCUUUUUUAUGGUCCUGGGAAUUGAACACAGUCUUUGCACUGAACUACAUUUCAAGCCCUUUUUAUUUUUUAUUUUGAGACAGUGCCUCAUUAAAUUAACCAAGUUUAACUCCACCUUGCAGUCUGUCUGUCUCACCCUCCCUGACUGCUGGGAUUAUAAAGUCUAUGCUUUUAUUUUCAUGACGCACAUCCUCUGCUAGUUCCCUGAGACAGCUUGAUACAGGAGCUUUUUUUAAUGGCACUAUUCUGCCUUCACAUUUGAUUAAGGGAUUUGCUAAUAAGAGAAUGAAAUAACUUUUUGCCUGAAUUUAAAAUUUGCUUCAGUCUUUUAAACUCCAAAGACAGUUGAGAAAUCCGUGUCUCUGGUUCUUGAAACUGACAAAUGACCAGCCUUUCCAAUUACACCCAAACCUUCACCAUGUGCUGGGCACUCAUUUUAUAGGCCUCUUGCAGGGCUAUUUCAGCCUGAACCAUGCAUCCUCAGUGUUGGGGCGACUGUUUAUAUUAUGCCUUUUAAUCACCUCUUUUCUAUUGUAUCUUUUUGGAAUUCCUAUUAUUUGAGUGUUGACUUCCUGGGUUUAUCUGCCAUUUAAAAAAUUUCCCUCUAUUUUCUAGUGAUUUAUCUUGUUAGUUUCUAGGGUAUUUCUUUAACAUUAUCCUCUAUCCCUGAUAAUUCCCAGUAGUUAUUUCAUGCUUGUUAUAUGGAUAAUGUAGCAUCUUUUGCCACAUUGAUAUUAAGGUAUUUUUUGAAGAUUUUUCAGUUCUUUGACUGUCCUUAAUUUUUCUGAGUUUCUUUGUUCCAUUUGUCUUGGUGACAUCUCUUUCAAAUUGGUGGCAUUAAGAAUCAGGUAUUAAAAAGCUGAUAAGAUAGCAUAAGAUACAUGUAGGAGCCAGGCCUGGUGGUGCACAUUGGUAAUCUCAGCACUGGGAGGCACAGGGGAGGCUGAGGCAGGACAAUCACCAUGUUUGAGGUUAGUCUGGGCUAUACAUAAGCAAGUUCAAAGCCAGCCUGAACUGCAUAGUGAGAUCCUGUUUCAAACAAAUAAAGAUACAUACAGGAUUUCAAAGGUGAUUUCAAGCUUUUUUAAUUUUUUUACAGGGCUGGUUUCAGAAGAGCAGCUUGCUGGGAGGUAAGAAUGUGACCACCAGCAUCUGGGAUGUGGGGGCGGCCCUCAGAACUCUUAUGCAGACUAGUACCCAGUGUAUCUUUGGGAUACCCUAUUCACCCUGACUCUCUGCUGUACAUGGUUCUCCUGGUGCCAGGCGAGAAAAGAAGUUUCCUGAGUGUAUCCAGUUUUUUUUCCUGUGCCUCACUCUUGCCUUCUUAAUUCUGUUCUUUGAGUCUUUUUGAUGGUCCAUGUGAUUUUUAUUUUUGAGACAGGGUCUGUGCAGUUCAGGCUGGCCUCAAACUCAUGGCAAUCCUCCUGCCUCAGCCUCCUGAGUGCUAGGAUUACAGGCAUGCCCCACCAUACUCAGCUGAAUUAUAUCUUUUUAAAGCUGGUUUUUUGUUGUUGUUGUUUGAAUUUUUAAAGGGAAAUUAAAGCUAAAGUGUUGGCUUUCAUAAGCACUUGGAUUCCAGGUUCUUCUGUUCUGUUAAGUCAAUAGAUGCUCAUCUGUUUGCUUAGACUGUUUUGUGGGGGAGUAGCCUUUUCCUCUGUUACCUCUUCUACUGUCUUCAUAGGUUUUUUUUUCUGAACAAAUUAGGAGAUAUAAUUCACACGUCACACAAUUCACCUAUUUACAUGUAAAAGGUUUUAGUAUAUUCAACUAUCACAACCAGUGUUAGAGCAUUUCAUCACUCACAAAAAGAAACCUCAUACCUCAGCCAUCAUUCUAUUUGUUCCCCAAGCCCUCACCAGAUCUAGGCAACCAUUAUUCUACUGCCUGUCUGUAUGGAAUUGCCUAUUAUGGACACCUAGUAUAAACGGCAUUAUACAAAGGUGGUCUGUCACGACUGGCUUAUCUCAUCUAACAUGUAUUUUCAAAGUUCGCCCAUAUUGUAGCAGGUAUCAGUGUUCCAUUACUCUUUACUGCCAACUGAUUAUUCUAUUAUACAAAUACAUCUGUUUGUUCACCUAUUUAUCAGUUGACAAAUAUUUGUGUUGAUUUAUAUUUUAGUUAUUAUAAAUAAUGUUACCAUGAACAUUCACGUUCAAGUUUUUGUCUGCACAUAUUUACUUCUCUUGGAUAUAUAUACACACACUUAGCAUUGGAACUGCUGGGUCCCAUGGUAUUUCUUAUGUUUAACCUUGUGAAGAACUCAAGAGCCAGGGAUUUAGCUCAGUGGUAUAAGCACCUGGCUGGCAAGCACAAUAUCAUGAGUUCAAUCCCAGGUACCAAAAAAGAACUCCAAGAUAGUUCUUCUCCAAAGCAACUAUAUCAUUUUAUAGUCCACCAGCAAUAGAUGAAGUUUCCAGUUUCUCAACCUUUUCACCAACACUUAUUAUUUGUUUUUCUGAUUGCAGCUAUCUUAACGAGUAUAAACUUGUACCUCAUUUAACUUUUGAUUGUAUUACCAUCAUGGCUAAUGAUGUUGUGCAUCUUUUAAUGUGAUUAACAGCCUUUGCAGAAAAUCCCCUUUUCCAUUGUGUUAUGCUUUAUGUCUAGAAGUCCCCCAAAGCUUCAUGUGCUCAUAGGUGGGGCUUUUGGGAGGUGACUGGAUUAUGGAGGCAUAGUAUAGCUAAAUGUAAUGUUGGAAGGUGAAGCCUUAUUGGAAAAAAUGGUCACUGAGGGGGCAUGGCCUGGAAGAGUCUAUCUCCCUCCUUCCUUUGAUCUCUGUUUCUGCUUCCUGCCUGACAUGCCACAAGCUGUUUGUCCUCUGCACUGCCUCUCUGCCAAGCCACUCUGCCCUAGAGCCAGCCAACUAUGGACCAAAAUCUCUACAAACUGUGAGCCAAAUAAAUCUUUCCUUUAACUUGUGAAUGUCAGGUAUUUUGUCCCAGCAACAAAAAAGUAUGUAAGACAAGGUGGUUAUCUGUUUUAGAGAAAAGUCUUUUCAAAUCCUUUGCUAAUUUUUAAGUAAGUCAUCUUUUUAUUAUUGAGUUGUAAGAGUUCUUUAUAUAUUUUUAGCCUCUUAUCAGAUACAUGAUUUUCAGAUAUUUCCCUCAUUCUAUAAGUUGUCUUUGUAUUUUCUUGCUAGUGUCCUUUGCAUCACAAAUUUUUAUAUUUUGAUAGUUUAUCUGUUGUCACAAAAAUGUAUGCCUAUGUGUUCCUUUAAGAGGUUUAUUAUUUUUGUCUGUAGGUCUGUGUACAUGUUAAGCUAAAUUUGUAUAAAAUGUGACUAUAUUUCUUUUCUGUCAUUUUAGUGCAAUAAUAUGCAUGAGUUCAAUCCAUCAUGUUCCUUGUCUGAAAUGCAUACAAUCGAGUUUUAUAAAUACUUCUUAAACUUUGACAAAGAUACAAUUUUUUUAUGCCUUUUGUUCAGGAAAGAACCAGUUGGGUAACAGCCUUAAGUUUCUUUUAUGUUUCUUUAACAUGUUCCUUCCAGCUUAAAUCACCCUUAGUACAUGUGUGACUGUCCAUCAGUGGCUUGCACCACUAGUGGUAAAAACAGGUCUGAUAACUGUUAUUGGUCUUUUAACAAGACAGUCAUUGCUCACAUACCUCCAGUGGUACAAGCUGCCCAGCAGCGAGACAUACAAAUUAUGGCCCCAUGGUGAACAUGUUAGGACAAUUUUUCAAACAAUUGGCUUUGCACUGCUUUAUUGUGGUUUUCAUUAUUUGCACUCCCUGGUUACCUCAGUAUGUUCUUGCUUAUAAAACAGAAAUUAGCUGUUUUUGUUUCCUUUUCUGUACCAUAAAGUUAACUCAUUUCAAAGAAAAUACUUUCCCCUUCUCAUUCUUAUUUUCCUUUUCUUUUCUUAUACAGAACAUAUUAUAAUGUGUUGUUAUCAUAACUUUUCCUCACUUGAUAUUUAAUUUGUUAAUUUCUGCCUAUUAUUCACAUGUUCGGAGGAAUAUAUUUUACCCUUCUGCCCUGACAGUGAGUUUUAGCAAGUUACAUAUCUGAAUGUAUCACCUGCAGCUAAAUCUGUAAAGGGGCCACCAUCAAAUCUGUGUCCAGUGGCUGGCUGUGAAAAGCCACUGCAGUGUAGACUCAAAUGGAGCAGAGGUAAGUACAGCUCGUCAUCGGUGUGUACCUGCUAUGUCAGUGUGGAGAGAUUAACAACACACCACCAACUCCACCCCUAAAGAGCUAGAUACUGACUGAAAGCCAUGGCUAAUAGAUUGGGCAGGUCACUGUCCUCUGUUCUGUAACUCAGUAAGCAGACUGAUACUGGACCCAAGGCUGUCAAAGAUGAAGGUAACAGGUAUAAAACCUUCAAGUCUGGUCAAGCCAGUCUCAUUUUUAGAUGCUACUGUUUGUGUCCUAUUUCUCCUACAAUCAUUCCUUUUUCAAAAGUAAUCUAUAAUCAUUCCUAUAAACUCAACUAUCAAACUACUUCUUUAGCUCACUCAUAAAGUACAAAUCCUCCCGGAAUAACUUUGGUGAAGGUCUAAGUCUUUAUAAUUAAAAAAAAGGGGGGGGGUUAUUAUACAAAAUCUCCUUUCUUUGCAAACUCCUAACUUACAGUAAUGGUUUCAGCCAGAGAGAUUUCAAGUCUAUUUUUCCAAAUUACAAAUGUUCACUAGAAAGCAAGGCACAACUAAUUUAACAUUAACGCUACUAAUAGACAAUGCCAGGAGCUAGAAGUGGGGGAGAUGGGCAUCACUGCUUAAUGAUUAGGAUUUAGGUGAAUAUAAUCAAUGCUACUAAAUUGUAUACCUAAAAACAACUAAAAUGGAGCUGGGGGAUUUGUUCAGUGGUAAGGCUCUUUCCUGGCAUGUGCAAGGCUCUGACUUCAGUCUCUAGUACAAUGUAAAACAGGUAAAUUUUAUGUUCAGCAUAUUUUGGCAAAAUAAAAAGUUAAUAGCAAAUCGUAUUUGGAAGAAUAUUUAACACUUCACAGUGAUAUAUGUGUAUCCAUGUUUAUAGCAGCACAAUUUGUAAUAGCCAGAUCUUGGAAACAACCUAAGUGUCCAUCAACUGAGGAAUGGAUAAAAAAGUUGUGAUAUUUUCAUACAGUGGAGUAUUACUCAGCUAUAAAGAAGGAUCACAUUGAGAUAUUUAUAAAUAAAUGGACGCAACUUGAGACCAUACUCAAAUCAAACUCACAUAUAUAAAUACUAUAUAGUAUCCCUAGUGUAAGAAAUGGUAGGAGUACAUCAGUAUGGUAAUCAUGAUUUCCCAUUACAUUGCUUUGAAGCCUUAUAAUGUUUGCAUUCAUUAGUUGGAAUGGUUUUAUUCUGUUUUGUUUGAUUUUAUCAUCUGUGAUAGUAUGAAUAGCUAUUUUGAAGAAAACAAAACGUUAUAAUAGCCAGUGCUGAUUUAAUAUCAUCUUACUCUGAAGUCCUACCAUGCUUUUGUUCUUCUGUCUCCAUUGGUUCUAUCAGAUUAUAUCUUAUUAGAUUUUAUUAGGUGUGACAGUAUAAACAAAUUUUCUAUGGAAAAUGAGAUAUUAUAGUAGCCAUUGUAUGUUCUCUGUUAUUUAGUUCUGAAUGCCCUGUAAUUCUUUCAUUUUCUUGAAUAGUUUUAUACUAUUUUGUUACAUUUGAUGCUAUCGUAUAUGAAGUUAUGCUCAACUAUUUCAAAGAAAGAGACAUGGUAGUUACUGUUAAUUAUGGGUUGUCUUGUGGUAAAAUGCUGUGUUGCUUUAAAAAAAAAGAAUAUUUAAUACUUCAAUUCAAAAUUCCUAUAGAUUUUGGUUAUGGUGAUUAGAUAAGUAAAAUUAAGCAAGGUACACAGAAAACAAGAAUAGUUCUCUUUUGGUUUCCAACUUGGCAAUGAUAUAAAAUGCCUCUUGAAAGAAAAAAAAACUAGGACUAGAAUCAAACAGAAAAUUAAAAAAAAUACCUGACUAGAUCUCAGCUUCUUGCUUUCCAGCCGGCUUUUUUCUUGAAGCAGGGCCUCUUUCUUAGAAAGUAUGGCCUCCCGCUUCUUCAGGUCUUCUUCCAGCUCUUCUAAUUCUUGGCGUUGGUUCAGAACCUUCUCUACUUCUUCAUCCAACCAUUUCUUCUGUUCAUCCAAUUUCUACAUGAAAAUUCCAAAGAAAUGUUCUCAUGUUUUUCUUUCUACCAUAAAAAUUAUAUGGUAGCAAUAUAAUUUCAGAUGAAAAAAUUGGAAUGAAUGCAUAAACAGUCAGAGUGACUCAUGUUCCUGUCUGGAACCCUAAGGAGGUGAAUACAUUACUGCUGUUUUCUAGGAAAUUAAAAAUUUAUUCCCUAGAUAUGUUAAAGAGUCUGGAGAACUGGGCCCUGACAAAGGAAAGGUUGACAAUCUUUCUGAAUACUGAUCUUUUUGGAUAUUGUGCUAAGAAGGCCAGGCUCCUGCCCACAGAGGAGAGUGACUCCGCUACAGCACAAGACAACACUACCCCUCCUCAUGCCUCCACUUUCCUGAGCUGCUCGAGUGCUUGUUUCUGGUCUUCUUUCCAUUUAUCCUGACUCACAGUUGGCACCCAAUAAAAUAUCAAAAGAAUGUGUAAUUAAAAACUUUAUUCAAUCAACUAAUAAAUAGAGUAAAGUAGUUGAUACACACAGGAAAACUUACAAAGAUAGAGGAUGAAUCAAAUCUACAGUAGACCUUGUCAACUUCAGAUAUUAGUAAGUAAAAGAGCUGGAAAGAUACUCCACAUGAAUACCUUAAUAUUCUCACAAAACAUACCCCAGGUAGGAGUGGUGGUGCAUGCUUAUAAGUUAAGCACUCUGGGAGGCUGAGACAGGAAAAUCACAAGUUCUAGCUUACUGUGGCUAACUCAGUGAUUUAGUGAGACACUGUCUCAAAAUAAAAAAUGAGAAAUCAGUGAAGAUGUACCUCAAUGCAAAGGUAUUGUCAUUUAAUCCCCAGUACCACAAAAAUAAGUGAAUUACAUUAAAUUAAAUAAGGGAGAAUACAUUUUUCAAACUUAAGAUGAACUUCCUAUUUUGAGUGUAAUGACAAUUCUAAGUACACUGUUUUUAUAAAAUAUUUCAAUUUCUUUGAACCUUGAAAUUAGCUUAUAGAUUGUGACAUAUAUUUUUUAAUGUGCUAAAGUAAUAGCUCUUUAAUACAAAAUACUUUGGUUCACAAAUGAUUCUGUCUGCAAACAAAUAUUUGGCAAAAUUUUCCUUCCAGUCACAAACUCCCUAUCAGGUGAUAAACAAUGGCCAUCUUUUGGUUUUACAAAAAUCAAGUUUACAAAAAUCAAAGUACUACUGUACAUUGUAUCAGUGGUGGCAAACCUAUGGUACAUGUGUUACUAUGUUUUUCUUUUAACACAAAAUAUGUUAACAUAGUUAUUUUUUCAAAACUAAAAUGUCACUAUGCAGGUUUAAUUGCAGGGUUGGUACUUUGUGAUAAGUAAGUGGGUUUGGGGCUCCAUUUGGCAAUUCAUAUCUAAAGGGUUUGCCAUUACCAUAUUAUGUAUAUGAUCUGAUUCUGUUUGAAUGUAGACUCCUGAUUUUCAGAAAUAUACUGGUCUCCAUGAUAAUAAACCUGAUUAAAAUUGAAACAUAGAUUUCAUGUUUACGUUCCAUAACAUUCAAGGAAGUUCAAUUCCACUGAAAUAAAAAUACAGCACAUUUCUGGAUAAGAAAAUAAAUAUUUUAAUAGCAGGCAUUUCAGGAAAAAUACUAGAAAUUGAGCAUGCAAGUGGCAAAAAAGUUUGGUGUUUAAAGAUUUUAUUCAGCAUCCACCACUUUUCAUCUCUACUUAGUCCUCAAAAGUGGAAAGAAACUAAAAACGCUAAACAGAAUCAACAAACCUGGAGUUGGUUUUUACUUCCAAAAGGUCCUUUCUUUGUUUUCAAGUUACACGUAUCAAGAUCUUCAGCCUUCAGUUUCAGACCUUUUUUCUGUCCUGUUUUUAAUUGUAGUUCCUAUAGAAAAAAAUUUAAAACUCUUUAGUCAUUUACUGCGUGGCUAUCAUUAAAUAUGUAAAUGAUAACUUGUUUUCUUUUUUCUUGUUUUCCCCUCAGUGCAGGGGCUUGAAUGUUGGGCUUUGUACUUUCUAAGUGCACAUUCUGUCACUGAGCCAAGCCCAUAACAUUUACAUUCCUACUUGCAAAAAUAGAGAAAAAAUGUACAUUAGGGUUGGGACUAUUUGAAAAGAAAAAAAUUUCCCUGAGGCAAAAAUAUCGAACUGCAAAACUCAAGAUUUUUUUUUCAUUCUUUGUCUUAUAAAAUAGCAUAAAAGGAGUAAGAGCCUAAAACUUACAAAUGACUUUUCUCUUUUUCCUGAGCUCAUGGUCUUCAUGAUUAGCCCACCUAAGACAGCUGCCUGCCAUGGGUAUAUUAGAAUUUUACAGUAGAAACGCAAAAAGGACAUUAAUAUGUAUGUUUCUGGUACUAAAAAUGUAAAUCUGCAACAUAAGAACAGCACAGUGAGGCAUCAUGGUUCUGUGAAAUGUGUCUUCUAAAUCCCUUUAGUUUUCAUCUACAUCCUAAGGGUCAAGUCAAGAGGCCCAGUGCUCAUGGUGCGCUCUUGGGUAUAGAGAAAGUGCUGCUGCCUCACCCCCAAAGAUUGGCAGGAAUCAGGAUGGAGGCCCUGGAUGGAAGUGGGCUCUUUCACAUCUGUUACUGGUCCAAAAUGGCCACGUACAGAAUUGAAAGUUUUAAGUGUUUACUUUUAUAGCAGUUUAAUAGGAUGGCUUUUAUCUUUACUGACUCCAAUAAUUUUAAAAAUGCAUUUUUAUUUUUAUAUUUUAACUUCAUUUUUCUACUAAUUCAUGUUUUUGUAAGACUACUGGGCUGUGGCAAAUUUGUAAUGAAAUGAAAACUGUACUUUCUCCAACAGGAAAUUACAGAAGCACUGAGAAAAGAGUAAAAGGAAAGACUAAGUAUUUUCCAGCCCUGGGAACGGCAGAGAGAAGUCUAUUUCCCAGUCAUCCUUUUUGUUGAAAUCCUGAUUUUCAGAAAUAUACCAGUUGCCCUGAGUUUUGGCCCAGACAGAGGGUAAUAAGCAAAGGCUAUCAGUGAGGGAAGAAGGGGCCCUCACUCACCUGGGAGAAAGACCACACACUACAGUGCAGAGACCUCCUACCUCACGGGACUGCCCAGGCACACUGGAGGAAGGAGAGGUAACUCAGGCAGGAGGAGAAUUACACUCCUUAUAGUCUCAUAAGCCAUGGAUACUGAGGCCAAUGCAUGCCAGGUAUUAUGGGGAACGGGCCACAAAACUUGGGGUAAGGGCAAGCCACUGGGCUAGCAAGUGAGACAGAAGGUUUAGGAGCCUUGGCAUGAGUUUACAAGGCCAGAGGGAGAUGAGAUAAAAACCAAAGCACUCCUAUGCUCUAAGCUAGAAGCCAGAGCAGCCCAAGGUGGUCAAGUUUGGGCUUCAUCACUAGAAGCCCUGGGCAAGUGGCCCAGGGAGCGCAGAUUCCACACCCUCUAUGGGAUGCAUAGAGACCCAUGUGUCCAGCCACACAUGUCCUGGGCGCCAUUCUGAGAGAAGAGAUGUGCAGGAGGGAAGAGGCUAGGAGAAUGAAAACUGUCACUUAAGGGGCCUAAGAAUUAUUAAAAAGCAAUGUUUACAUUUUAAGAAUAAGGUAAGAAUAGACAGGGCUUUUGGUUGGUUCCUUCUGUAUUUCUAGCACAGUAAUUACCAUGAGUGGGAUAGUAGAAGCCUAGGGUAGGGGUGGCGAGGAGGUGCUCACAGAAGGCAGGUCUGCUUUACGUUAAAUAAAUUUUCUAUGCACA